UAGGGAAUCUUCCGCAAUGGACGCAAGUCUGACGGAGCAACGCCGCGUGAGUGAAGAAGGAUUUCGGUUCGUAAAACUCUGUUGUUAGAGAAGAACAGCGCAUAGAGUAACUGUUAUGCGUGUGACGGUAUCUAACCAGAAAGCCACGGCUAACUACGUGCCAGCAGCCGCGGUAAUACGUAGGUGGCAAGCGUUGUCCGGAUUUAUUGGGCGUAAAGCGAGCGCAGGCGGUCAAUUAAGUCUGAUGUGAAAGCCCCCGGCUCAACCGGGGAGGGUCAUUGGAAACUGGUUGACUUAAGUGCAGAGGAGGAGAGUGGAAUUCCAUGUGUAGCGGUGAAAUGCGUAGAUAUAUGGAGGAACACCAGUGGCGAAGGCGACUCUCUGGUCUGUAACUGACGCUGAGGCUCGAAAGCGUGGGUAGCAAACAGG
Molecule: ribosomal RNA, 429 nt
Filed under: Bacteroidota bacterium
Lineage: Bacteria; Pseudomonadati; Bacteroidota
Description: Bacteroidetes bacterium partial 16S ribosomal RNA
Rfam family: Bacterial small subunit ribosomal RNA
Source: RNAcentral